Molecule: transfer RNA, 73 nt
Filed under: Marmota monax (woodchuck)
Lineage: Eukaryota; Metazoa; Chordata; Mammalia; Rodentia; Sciuridae
Description: tRNA.Ala
Source: RNAcentral
GUGGAGUUGUGGCUCAGUGGUAGAGCACUUGCCUUGCAUAUUUGAUGCACUGGGUUCAAUCCUCAGCUUCACA